This 301-nucleotide ribosomal RNA is filed under the name uncultured bacterium. Its description in RNAcentral is "partial 16S ribosomal RNA". It matches the Rfam family "Bacterial small subunit ribosomal RNA", at positions 509 to 807 of the family's 1533-position model. The record is from RNAcentral.
CAGCAGCCGCGGUAAUACGUAGGGCGCAAGCGUUGUCCGGAAUUAUUGGGCGUAAAGAGCUCGUAGGCGGUCUGUCGCGUCUGGUGUGAAAUCCCGAGGCUCAACCUCGGGCUUGCAUCGGGUACGGGCAGACUAGAGUGCGGUAGGGGAGACUGGAAUUCCUGGUGUAGCGGUGGAAUGCGCAGAUAUCAGGAGGAACACCGAUGGCGAAGGCAGGUCUCUGGGCCGCAACUGACGCUGAGGAGCGAAAGCAUGGGGAGCGAACAGGAUUAGAUACCCGCGUAGUCCUUGUCUCUUAUAC